GUUGAUGGUCUUUCAUUGUCUGCAUUAAAAUCCAAAUGUCUUACCUAGCACUCAGGCAGUGUGGGAUUUGCUCCCAAUCUGCUUUUUCUAACUCGUUUCUUUCCUAUGCGUUCCCCGUACAUCCUCAGAUGUAAGCACAGGCAGCUACUAUAGGCUCCCCUACUGCCCACAAAUGCCAUGAAUUCUGACAGUGCCAGGGACUUACCAUGGUUUCCUCUUUUCCUGGAAUGCCUUGUGCAUUUGAUGAAAUUAUAUCCAUGCUUCUAAGUCCAGCUCAAAGGCCACCCUCUCUGUGAAGUUCCCCAAACCUUGCUUUUUCCUGCCCCUUAGGAAAUGAGUCACUCUCCCCUAUGAGUCUGCAGACCAGAAUGGUUCCAAAACCUGGCUGAGCACUGGAAUCAACUGAGAAGUUUUGAGAAAAUAUUGAUACCUGGGCCUUACCUCCCACAUCACGCACCAGGACAUCUGAGAAUAAGCCUGUGCAGUAGUAAUCUCUUUUUCAAAAAUCUUUGGUGCUAAAAUUUACAAAACAUAAAGUUUACUGUCUUAACCAUUUUUAAGUGUACAGUUCAGUAGUAUCAAAUAUAUCUAUAAUUUGUGAAUCCAUUUCCGGAACUCUUCUUCUUGCAAAACUAAAACUCUGUAGCCAUUAAACAACUACUGCACAUCCUCCCUCCCUG
Molecule: long non-coding RNA, 680 nt
Filed under: Marmota monax (woodchuck)
Lineage: Eukaryota; Metazoa; Chordata; Mammalia; Rodentia; Sciuridae
Source: RNAcentral